Protopterus annectens (West African lungfish) is the source of this 108-nucleotide small nuclear RNA. Lineage: Eukaryota; Metazoa; Chordata; Ceratodontiformes; Protopteridae. The record is from RefSeq and is a predicted model, not a curated record.
GUGCUUGUUUUGGGAGCACAUGUACUAAAAUUGAAACAAUACAGAAAAUAAUUAGCAUAACCCCUGAACAAGAAUGAUAUAGUUUACACAGCUAAAAUUCAACUAUUC